This 894-nucleotide long non-coding RNA is filed under the name Felis catus (domestic cat). RNAcentral describes it as "lncRNA (ENSFCAG00000053697.1)". Lineage: Eukaryota; Metazoa; Chordata; Mammalia; Carnivora; Felidae. The record is from RNAcentral.
AUUAUUUACUGUGGAAACUUCAGUUCCCAAGAUGGCCAUAAAGGUAACUCUAAUGAAACACCAGCCACAAGCAGGCAGCCACAGCCUGAGAGUGGCAGAAGGGCAUCAGACAUUUACUUACAGGUUGUCAGAGGCUAAUCUAGUUUUCUCUUUCAGGGUCUGACUUGGAGGCCACAAGAAGAUGGAGGCCAGUGUUAUAGAAACCAAGGAGGACUGGCAGGUGCCAGAGCAGUUUUUAGAGAGGAGCAGGCUCCAGAGGAACAAUUUAACAAUUGUCGUAGAAAAAGUGUGCAUGUGGGAGUGGAGGGUCACCACAUCAUCUCAUCUCUUCUUAGGACUCGUUCCUGAAACUAGACCCAGAUGAAGAAAAUGGGACUCUGAAAGAUGAAGCAAUUUGACAGAGCAAGAAAUUUGACAAAUCUUUACUACUAAAGAGGAGAUUUCAAUAUAAGCCCCUCAGAAACUGAUGAAGCAAAUAUGUAAGAAUAUAUAAUAUUAUUUGCCUCGCUCCCUGUCUGUAACUUUUUUUCCCCCUUCUCCUCCCCCAUGGUCUUCUGUUAAGUUUCUCAAGAUCCACCUAUGAGUGAAAACAUGUGGUUAUCUGUCUUUCUCUGACUUAUUUCACUUAGCAUAAUACCUUCCAGUUCCAUCCACAUUGCUGCAAAUGGCCAGAUUUCAUUCUUUCUCAUUGCCAAGUACUAUUCCAUUGUAUAUAUAAACCACAUCUUCUUUAUCAAUUCAUCAGUUGAACAAACUGAGGGUUGAUGGGGGGUGGAGGAGAGGGGAAAGUGGGUGGUGUGCAGUGAGGAGAGCACUUGUUAGGAUGAGCACUGGGUGUUGUAUGGAGACCAAUUUGUCAAUAAAUUAUAUUAAAAAUAAUAAAAAUAAAAGAAU